CGCAGACUGUAAGACCAACAAUGAGUGUCAAAUAAGCAAUUCUGAGUGUCAAGAAAAGAAGUGUACUUGUAAAAAAACUUUCUUUGAGUUUGAAGGAAAAUGUAAUGCAGGAGGACUGCACGCAAACUGUACGACCAACGAUGAGUGUCAAAUAAGCAAUUCUGAGUGUCUAGAAAAGAAAUGCACUUGUAAGAAAUAUUUCUUUGAGCUUGACGGGCAAUGUGCAGCAGGACUCGACGCGGAGUGCAAGACCAAUGAUGACUGUAAAAAGGAAAAUACAUUUUGUCAUGAGAAAACGUGUAAGUGUGAACCAAAGUUUG
Long non-coding RNA from Phymastichus coffea, 320 nucleotides. RefSeq lists it as uncharacterized. NCBI's taxonomy places the organism in Eukaryota, Metazoa, Arthropoda, Insecta, Hymenoptera, Eulophidae. The transcript has 3 exons. The record is from RefSeq and is a predicted model, not a curated record.